Molecule: ribosomal RNA, 440 nt
Filed under: uncultured bacterium
Lineage: Bacteria
Description: bacterial SSU rRNA
Rfam family: Bacterial small subunit ribosomal RNA
Source: RNAcentral
CCUACGGGUGGCUGCAGUGGGGAAUAUUGCACAACGGGGGAAACCCUGAUGCAGCAACGACGCGUUAGCGAUGAAGGCCUUCGGGUCGUAAAGCUCUGUCCUAAGGGAAGAAUACUGACGGUACCUUAGGACGAAGCCCCGGCUAACUACGUGCCAGCAGGCGCGGUAAUACGUAGGGGAAUAGCGUUAUCCGGAAUUACUGGGCGUACAGGGUGCGUAGGCGGCCCUACAAGUCAGAGGUGAAAGGCUACGGCUCAACCGUAGUAAGCCUUUGAAACUGUAGGGCUUGAGUGCAGGAGAGGAGAGUGGAAUUCCCAGUGUAGCGGUGCAAUGCGUAGAUAUUGGGAGGAACGCCAGUUGCGAAGGCGGCUCUCUGGACUGUAACUGACGCUGAGACACGAAAGCGUGGGGGGCGAACAGGAUUAGAUACCCUUGUAGUC